AAUCGAUAAUGGCAAACUUAUUGAAAAAUAAGGACGCAAAGCCAAGGGUCUAAGGUCGGCGCGGCACACACGCCCCCGACGAUGACAGCCGGUUGCCGAA
Molecule: non-coding RNA, 100 nt
Filed under: Sporobacter termitidis
Lineage: Bacteria; Bacillati; Bacillota; Clostridia; Eubacteriales; Oscillospiraceae
Also listed under: 1 other name
Description: c-di-GMP sequence
Rfam family: c-di-GMP-I riboswitch aptamer
About the family: GEMM was predicted in a large-scale screen for bacterial structured RNA regulatory elements. Genes associated with GEMM are involved in a diverse array of functions, including chemotaxis regulation, signal transduction, secretion and chitin.
Source: RNAcentral